RNAcentral lists this ribosomal RNA (774 nucleotides) under uncultured Neocallimastigales. Its description in RNAcentral is "partial large subunit ribosomal RNA". It matches the Rfam family "Eukaryotic large subunit ribosomal RNA", at positions 24 to 647 of the family's 3401-position model. Lineage: Eukaryota; Fungi; Neocallimastigomycota; Neocallimastigomycetes; Neocallimastigales. The record is from RNAcentral.
UAUCUCUGUAGAGUCUGCAUAUCAAUAAGCGGAGGAAAAGAAACUAACAAGGAUUCCCUUAGUAACGGCGAGUGAAGCGGGAAGAGCUCAAAUUUGAAAUCUUCAAGGUUCUACCUUGACGAAUUGUAGUUUAAAGAAGUGUUUUCUGUUAGAUGAGUAGCAAAAGUUCCUUGGAAUGGGACAUCAUAGAGGGUGAGAAUCCCGUAUUUGGUUAUUCAUUCUAGCUUUGUGAUACACUUUCAAAGAGUCGGAUUGUUUGGGAAUGCAGUCCAAAAUGGGUGGUAAAUUUCAUCUAAAGCUAAAUAUUGGCGAGAGACCGAUAGCGAACAAGUACCGUGAGGGAAAGAUGAAAAGAACUUUGAAAAGAGAGUUAAACAGUACGUGAAAUUGUCAAAAGGGAAGCGUUUGACACCAGUGUUGUUUUUCCGAAAAUCAAUUACGAAUGGCUUGAUUCUGUGUUGUAUUGACCUUAUCAGCUUUCUUCACUUUUUUCGAGUCUUUCUUAAUGCACUUUUCGGUUAACAAGUCAACAUCAAUUUCUUUUGUUGUAAAAGAGUAUUCGGAAGGUGGCUUUCUUUUCGGAGAAAGUGUUUAUAGCCCUAUACUUCUACAAUCGGAGAGAUUGAGGUCUGCAGCGUAGAUCCUUCGGGGUUAGAUACACUUGUGCUAAGUUGUAGCUUUUCAUAGACAACUUGUUGACUAUGUUUAGUCAUGCGGCUUACUCGCUUGUGCUAUUUUACCUACGCUUAGGAUGUUGACGAGACUGUCGAUCUC